RNAcentral lists this ribosomal RNA (596 nucleotides) under uncultured Frankia sp. RNAcentral's name for it is "bacterial SSU rRNA". It matches the Rfam family "Bacterial small subunit ribosomal RNA", at positions 252 to 858 of the family's 1533-position model. The record is from RNAcentral. Lineage: Bacteria; Bacillati; Actinomycetota; Actinomycetes; Frankiales; Frankiaceae.
GUGGGGUAAUGGCCUACCAAGGCGACGACGGGUAGCCGGCCUGAGAGGGCGAUCGGCCACACUGGGACUGAGACACGGCCCAGACUCCUACGGGAGGCAGCAGUGGGGAAUAUUGCGCAAUGGGCGAAAGCCUGACGCAGCGACGCCGCGUGAGGGAUGACGGCCUUCGGGUUGUAAACCUCUUUCAGCAGGGACGAAGCGAGAGUGACGGUACCUGCAGAAGAAGCACCGGCCAACUACGUGCCAGCAGCCGCGGUAAUACGUAGGGUGCAAGCGUUGUCCGGAAUUAUUGGGCGUAAAGAGCUCGUAGGCGGCCUGUCGCGUCGGCUGUGAAAACCCGGGGCUCAACCCCGGGCCUGCAGUCGAUACGGGCAGGCUAGAGUCCGGUAGGGGAGACUGGAAUUCCUGGUGUAGCGGUGAAAUGCGCAGAUAUCAGGAGGAACACCGGUGGCGAAGGCGGGUCUCUGGGCCGGAACUGACGCUAAGGAGCGAAAGCGUGGGGAGCGAACAGGAUUAGAUACCCUGGUAGUCCACGCCGUAAACGUUGGGCGCUAGGUGUGGGGGACCUUCCACGGCCUCCGUGCCGCAGCUAACGC